Molecule: unclassified non-coding RNA, 260 nt
Organism: Homo sapiens (human)
Lineage: Eukaryota; Metazoa; Chordata; Mammalia; Primates; Hominidae
Rfam family: Metazoan signal recognition particle RNA
About the family: The signal recognition particle (SRP) is a universally conserved ribonucleoprotein. It is involved in the co-translational targeting of proteins to membranes.
Source: Ensembl
GCCAGGUGUGGUGGCUCACACCUGUAAUCCCAGCACUUUGGGAGGCUGAGGCAGGCAGAUCGCCUGAGGUCAGGAGUUCGAGACCAGCCUGGCCAACAUGGAGAAACCUCGUCUCUACUGAAAGUACAAUCGUCUCUACUAAAAAUACAGGUGACUGCCACCAUGCCCGGCUAAUUUUUGUAUUUUUAGUAGAGGUGGGGUUUUACCAUGUUGGCCAGGCUGGUCUCAAACUCCUGACCUCAAAUGAUCCACCCACCUCG